UACGGGGGGGGCAAGCGUUGUUCGGAAUUACUGGGCGUAAAGGGCUCGUAGGCGGCCAACUAAGUCGGAUGUGAAAUCCCCAGGCUUAACCUGGGAACUGCAUCCGAUACUGGAUGGCUUGAAUUCGGGAGAGGGAUGCAGAAUUCCAGGUGUAGCGGUGAAAUGCGUAGAUAUCUGGAGGAAUACCGGUGGCGAAGGCGGCAUCCUGGACCAUAACUGACGCUGAGGCGCGAAAGCUAGGGGAGCAAACGGG
This 253-nucleotide ribosomal RNA is filed under the name uncultured bacterium. RNAcentral's name for it is "partial 16S ribosomal RNA". It matches the Rfam family "Bacterial small subunit ribosomal RNA", at positions 524 to 776 of the family's 1533-position model. The record is from RNAcentral.